Molecule: ribosomal RNA, 462 nt
Filed under: uncultured bacterium
Lineage: Bacteria
Description: partial 16S ribosomal RNA
Rfam family: Bacterial small subunit ribosomal RNA
Source: RNAcentral
GAUGAACGCUGACAGAAUGCUUAACACAUGCAAGUCGUGGGCGAAGCUGUGCUUGCACAGCCUAGCCAAGGCGGACGGGUGAGUAACGCGUAAGGAACUUGCCCUGCAGUCAGGGAUAACAUACGUAAACGACUGAGAAGCCCAGGCAAAGUCAGGCGGACUCAUGUCCAGCCUGAUGAAAAGAGAUGCUGCAGGGGAGCCUUGCGGCCGAUUAGCUUGUUGGUGGGGUAACGGCCCACCAAGGGGAUGAUCCGUAGCCGGCCGGAGAGGGGGGACGGCCACACGGGGACUGAGAUACGCACCUUACACCUACGGGAGGCAGCAGUGGGGAAUAUUGGACAAUGGGGGCUAACCUGAUCAAGCAUUUCUGUGUGAAAGAUGAAGGUUUUCGGAUUGUAAAGUGCUUUCAGCAGGGAAGACAAAAUGACGGUACCUGCAGAAGAAGCGACGGCUAACUACGUG